Molecule: long non-coding RNA, 1622 nt
Organism: Chelonia mydas (Green sea turtle)
Lineage: Eukaryota; Metazoa; Chordata; Testudines; Cheloniidae
Exons: 2
Source: RefSeq, a predicted model, not a curated record
UAUAUUUGAAAAUAUAGAAAACAUCCACAAAUAUUUAAAUGGUAAUCUAUAAUUGUUUAACAGUGCAAUUCAUUGCACGAUUCAUUGCGAUUAAUUUUUUUAAUCACUUGACAGCACUAGUUUAAAUCUAUUUAAUGGUGAAUUAAUGUAAUUUUAAGGGGUAUAUCUGGUAUAUCUGCCCCUGCGUCCCCUUAACAAUUCCUGUGGUUCUACAAUCACAUGUUUUUAUUUUUAAAAUUGUCAGUUAUUGUAAAUGUAGCAUUUUAAGAGGUUAAAAUCAGACAAGGAUUUGUUUGCAUUGUGCCACUUAACGAGUUAAAGUGCUCCAAGUCAACUUGAACCUAGUCUUCCCUUAGUAUUCCAUUCAGUUACUGUCUGCAUCAGUAAUUUUAGUGGAGCAAAGUCAGUGUUUUGUAAACUUUCCUGAGCCAUGUUUGUGUAUUGUAAUAUUGUACAGUCAUAUGUGAGCAGUGACAUUAGACAGAAGAUUCCUGCCUCAAGGAGGUGCAUCUACAGAGAAUGUAUGUCUGAGGAGGGCCAGAGGAAGAUUCUAGCUUAAUAUUUUACUUGAAAUCCUUACUUUUUUUUAAAAGGCAUUUGGUGUUGAGAGAGAGAGGUAGGAGUCAAACUACCUGGUGUAUUACUUUUUGAUGUCACUUGAGCUAGAAAAGUGCAGGGAUGAAUUACUUCUAGUAAGCUAUUACUGCUCAUUGUUACUAUAUAUUUAACAAAAUUGUAUAGUCUAAGUAAUAAAAGGAAAGACUACGCCAUAUACACCAGCUGUACAUAGUAUAUGGUUAGACUUUGCUUGCUGUUUAUUCCUUGUCCUUUGUCACUGCCUACACUGGAAGGAGAUUAGGAGUCUUCUCUGCCCUGUCGUCCUUCUUACUGGGUGCUAGUGAGUAGUUGUUAUAAUUUCCUAAAUGAUCCACAUCCUCGCUACCUGAGAGACUGACCGUCUCUCUUCCCCACUUAAUGGUGUUGCAGGAAUUGAGAUAGCUGGGAGAUUUGAACAUCUGCGCUCUGGAUACUAGAACAUUCUUAGUGGAGGGUCCUUGACAUUGGAAUUCCUUUUCCCCAUUACAGUUCAGUCUUGUUGUAAAGCUCAUAUAUUCACCCAGGGGAAUUGGACUGCAUAAAGCAGGGGUGGGCAAACUACGGCGGCCCGUUAGAUCUUUUUAUUUGGACCUCGAGCUCCCGCCAGGGAGCGGGGUUGGGGGCUUGCCCCACUCUGCCCACCCAGCACUCCUCAGCCCCCGACUCACAAUUCCCUUGAUGAGCACCAUCUUCUGGCACACAGAGCCACACUGCGCAGGCAUGAGUUCCCCCCUCCCCCCACCUCAGUAACAUCUCUUAUAGAGCCCCCACAUGCUACACCCCAUAGAGUCCCCCUCCCGCACGGGACAUUCAUAGCCCCCCAAUACAGUUUCCAUACCCAGAUGCGGCCCUCAGGCCAAAAAGUUUGCCCAUCCCUGACAUAAAAGAUGUUAACCUAUUUCGGGAUGGAAAUCUGUUUAGUAAGAUAUUAUUCAUGUGGUUUUUAUCAGUCUGUGUGCUUAGAGGUGGUCCAGUUAAUCAGUUUUGUAAAUUGAAUAAUAAAAGUUCAGAAGUUCCCUCAAUGA